UAGCGGACAAUCAACACCGAAAUAUCAACAUGAAGAUAAACGCUCUACUUCUUGCUAUUCUCGCAAUAGUACUUAUUGCAUUCAACGUCGAAGUUUCCGCUCAGCAAUGGUGUACAGGGACAUCUGAUAGACGAUGUGUAGUAAAACCAUGCCCGUCUGGCGAGAGGAUCGUGAAAUGGAUCAGCCAAGAUAACGAUAAACCUUUCCCAUCGUGCUGUGCGGACAGAAUUUGCGGUUAAAUAAAAAUCUUUCCAACAAUCUAUUUUACUCGACGAUGCUAUCAGAAAAUAUGUAUAAUGUAUCAGAGUUAUAGAAAUUUUUAUUCUACGCAUCAAAUAAACAAUAUUGCAAAUUU
Linepithema humile (Argentine ant) is the source of this 355-nucleotide non-coding RNA. The record is from RefSeq and is a predicted model, not a curated record. Lineage: Eukaryota; Metazoa; Arthropoda; Insecta; Hymenoptera; Formicidae.